UAAUUGGUCUUCCUCUCUCACUCACACAGUAUCGGGACUCGGGAAUGUAAUAAUAAUAAUAAACGAUGUUAUCAGUUAUCACGCUGGAGUCGAUUGAGUUGCAAAGAAAGAGACAAGUAGAAAUAAAAUGAGAUUGAGGAGAAUGUAGCAGCAGAACAGUAAUAUUGAACGAAUUGACGUUAGGGUAGGUAAAAGAAAGAAAUUAGAAUCAGAGUUGUUUCUAUCUGGUCUCAAUUCUCAUUUAGAGCUUUGCAUUCUCUCUCUCUCUCUCUCUCUCACUAGAUCCGUAAUUGAACCAGGCUUGUUUGAGAACAAGUAGAAUAGAGGAUGUCAAGUAGUACUGGGGAUACUCAUUGGUGUUAUAAUUGCAUGAGGCCGGUUCGAUUGGGACGGAUACAUACUGUUUGCUCUAGUUGUGAUGGGGGAUUUGUUCAAGAUCUCAAUGAUAUGGUACAUUCUAGUUAUGGCGUGGACAAUGUUGAAGAACUCGGACAAAGGCAUCAAAUGGAUUCAAUUCCCGAACACGCUCCAAGGUUUACUACUCCUUUGUUAAUCUAUGGUGGCCAAAUACCAUUCAGGUUUUCUAGACAAGGUGGCAUUGAUGCUCUCUUUAAUGGGACACCAGGAACUGGUGUCACGAUAGGUAACUCGGUUAAUUAUUUUACCGGUCCUGGAGUUGAAGAAUUGUUAGAACAGCUUUCUGCUAAUGACCGCAGAGGCCCCCCACCUGCAUCGCGGUCAUCUAUAGAUGCAAUUCCUAUUGUGAAGAUAUCGUCGAGGCAUCUUCGAUCAGAUCCACAUUGUCCAGUAUGCCAAGAUAAAUUUGAGCUUGGGUCUGAUGCAAGACGAAUGCCAUGUAAACAUAUGUUUCACUCGGAUUGUAUUGUACCAUGGUUGGUUCAGCAUAACACCUGCCCUGUUUGCCGUCAAGAAUUGCCACAGCAGAGUGGAAGAAGGAGAAACCCUUUUUCGUUUUUGUGGCCUUUCGGCUCUUCUAAUUCUAGAAGUAACGACGGAGCAACUGGAAGCAGCUCACUAACACCAGGUAUACCUGAAAAUAGCCAGAAUGCACAACAUUCUGGGUGGCCAUUUGAGUGACUUUAUGCUGAUGGAAACAUACAAUGGAAUGAUGCUGAUUGCUUGGAGUGAAACCUUAUGAGACCUGAGUCUAUCACUCUGUAUUUGUUUUCUAAAGGUUGCUGGAUGGACCCAAGUAUACGGGGACAUGCUGACCUUUGCCACCAUCAGAGGAGCAGGCCAUGAAGCUCCUUCUUCCCAACCAGGGAGGUCUCCGGUGCUUUUUAAGGCCUUUUUGGAAGGAAAACAGCUUCCAAAACAUUGAAAAAUUCAUUGUAGUAUGUAAUUAUCAUUAAUCUUUUUCGGUCAAAUGUUAUUUUUAUUUAUUUAUUUUAACAGUUAGUGUUGUUUUACAAUUACAAUAUAGCAUCAAUGAAAAUUAGAAGACUUAAUUACACAUUUGGUCCCUUAAUUAAUUCGCAGGUUUCGUUUUGGUCCCUUAAUUAAUAAAAAUUUCGUUUUGUUCCCUUAAAUGUGCUUCUGUUAGUCAAUUUAGUCGGUGGCGGAGCCACGUUGCAUUGAGGGUGUGCACGUGAACCCCUUCAAUUUUAAUAUUUACACUUAAAAUUGUAUGUUUUUUAUGCGUUGAAUCUAAAUUGUGACAUUGUGGUUGGCCAACGUCACAAUGUCACUCAAGAAUGCCACCAACUUCACCAACCUCUUCCAAAACGUCGUCGCUUCACCCUCCGUCUUAUUCACCGCUUCCCACACCGUUUCAUCCAUACUCCCUCGUUCAAGAGCUUCGCGAGAACCGUUUCUAUGUUGCAGCAUGCUGUGUUACAAUCACCCAAAACGGUUCUUCCUUGGUUUUACCCAAUUUGAAACUCAAGGUUGUUAUGGAAGCUGUUAGGAUGGUGUUGGAAGCUGUUUACGACGAAAGAUUCGUCACAUUUUGCUACGGUGGACGCGUUGGGAUGGGUAGACACACUGCUAUAAGGUAUUUGAAAAACACUCUUCAGAAUCCUACUUGGUGGUUUACUGUUAGGUUUAAGCUUCAUAGAUUUGAAAAUGCACAUGUUGAAAAGUUGUGUUUUUUCGUUUAACGUAAAAUCAGAGAUUGUGUUUUCAUUGAUUUUAUUAAGAGGUUGUUUGAAUGUAAGGUUUUGGUGAUUGAAUUGGGUGGUAAUUCGUUAGGAAAAGGGCUUCCUCAGGAAUGUGGGUUGUGUUCUAUUUUGGUGAAUGUUUAUUUUGAUGGGUUUGAUAAAGAGAUUCAAGAGAUGCGGCUUCGGGAAAAUCAAGAGAACUGUGAAUUGAAUUCGAAGAUGGUUUGUUCUAGUUUGGGAUCUGAUGUGUUUUACAAACCCGUUAAAGUGUAUGUGGUUAGGUAUUUGGAUGAGAUACUGGUUGCUACUUCGGGGGGAUCCAAGUUGUUGGCUAUGGAUAUGGACUUGAAGAUGAAGGUUGUCAAAAGCUUGGAGCUUGGUUUGAGUUUGCGGGUUGAUAAAUUGAACACGGCUAUUCAUAGCGCAGUGUCGGAGAAGAUUGAGUUUCUUGGGAUGGAAUUGCAGGCUGUUCCGCCCUCGGUUUUACGCCCACCUAUGUCAGAGAAAGCAAUUCGAGCAUGGAAGAAGUACCUUAGACAAAAGGAAGUUAGAGCUCUUGAGUUCAGAAAUGCUAGGGCGAGGAAUAGGAGGAUAUUGGGGUUGAAGAUAUUUAAUCAUGUUUAUAAGAAGAUGAAGCAAAGUGAUGGGUUUAAGUUUGACUUUAGUAUUGAAAAUGAAGUCCGGGAAAUUUUUAAAUCUUGGGCAGAUGAAGUAGUGCAAGAGUUCUUGGGGAGUGUGGAUGAGUGUCAAGAAUGGCAUCGGAGUUUAACAGCCGGUGAUUUUCUUUCCUUGAGACACAUUCGAGAUCAGUUACCGCCUGACCUUGUUGUUGCUUAUGAUAAAUUCCAUGAACAGGUAGAUAAACAUUUGAAUCCUGUAAAACUAAGGAAAGUAAUUGAGGACAAAGAAAGAAAAGAAAACCAAGAGGAAGAACAAAAAUAUUCAAAAGGAACAGUUGAGGAUUUGACUAGGUUAUGUAUAAAAGUAGAUGCACCAGUAGGUCUGAUAAGAAAAGCUGUGAGGUUGGUUGCUUUUACGAAUCAUAUGGGUCGUCCAAGGCCUAUUGAAUUCCUCGUUGCUCUUGAGGAUGCCGAUAUUAUCAAAUGGUAUGCCGGCAUAGCAAGAAGGUGGCUUGACUUGUUCUGCUGUUGCCACAACUUCAAGGUGGUCAAAUCUAUUGUAAGUUAUCACUUGAGGUUCUCUUGUAUCUUGACAUUAGCAGAAAAGCACGAAUCCACUAAGCGUGAAGCUAUAAAGCAUUUUAGCAAAGAUUUGAAAGUCUAUGAUAUGAAUGGAAAUGAUGAAAUACAUUUUCCCACAGAGAAGGAGGUUAAGAUGAUGAUGGGAGAUAGAAAUCUUUCAGAUCCAAAACCUGUAGAUGGGGUUUUAUCGUUGGCAACAGUAAGACUGGCAUCUGACGAGCCUCCCACACGUUGUAUUGCUCAUUUCUGUGACAAGACGAUAACAGUCUUUUAUCGGGUCCGAUUGCUACAAAACAGUUUGAAUGUGAACCCAAUGGAGAAAGAAAAAUGGGUGCAAGGGAUGGGAGUAAUUCAUGAAAGUCUGAACCAGAAGUGCCUCCCACUCUGUACCAAUCAUAUACAUGAUUUUUACUUGGGGAGAAUCACUUUUCAAGACAUUGACUGUACCUCUUGUGUGGAUGUAGACUGACUGACGAUUGCUACUGCUAACUCAUUUUUUAGUUUGAUUAGAAUCAAAGAACUGAGUUAUUCACACUUAACCAAAAUUCUACUAAUUUUUUUUCAUUACUCAUCCCUAGACAAUUCUCAUAUUCAUUUCUUUCUUAUAGAAUAUGCAACUGAUUCCAAUUUUGUCAAUCAUCUCUAGCUGAAAAGUCAGGCAGUAUCCAUAUAUGCAAACUUGUUUUUGCUGUUUGAGCAACAAAUGCUAAAUUGUUUUUUCUUAUAUUCUUGUUUUAUUUUUGAAGUCAGGCAGUCACCAUAUCUCCUUACAUUCCCUUGCAUGAUUU
RNA transcript from Medicago truncatula (barrel medic), 4110 nucleotides. It is a transcript of the gene named probable E3 ubiquitin-protein ligase RHC1A, with no coding region annotated. The record is from RefSeq and is a predicted model, not a curated record. The transcript is spliced from 3 exons. NCBI's taxonomy places the organism in Eukaryota, Viridiplantae, Streptophyta, Magnoliopsida, Fabales, Fabaceae.